AUAGAAAAACACAACAAAAAAAACUUUGCAGAGAAGAGAAUGAAAUUCAAAAUACUUAUAAACUUAUUUAUUCUAUAAGUAAAGUUAGUAACUUUGUCGAGAAGAGACAUAAGCAAAAGUGAAAAAUAUUGUAAAUUAUAAACUCAAAGUUGAAAGAGUGGAAACAAAACGAAAAAAAAUAUAAAGCAAAAAUUAAAAAUAACACACUUGCAUAAAUGCGCCUUUUGUAUUUGCACAAAAUUUUGCAAAAAAACAUUCGACCAUCAAUAGAAAUACAACGCAGUACUGUAGAGUAACAGUAGCUUUACACAAAUCUGUAGUUGAAGAGAGCACCAAAUGCAGAUCACUUAACUUUUGCAUAAAACUGUAAAAUAGCUUGAUUUCAAGUGCAGUACUGUUGACUUUACAUAAAACUGUAAAAUAGCAUAAUUUUAACUUCAGUACUGUUAACAGCACAUUAAUCUGUAGAAUAAAAGAUUUUCAAAUGCAGUACUGUUAAGAUUACAUAAAAUUGUGGGUUAACUGGGCUUCAAAUACAGUGUUGUUAACCUAAUUCCAACCUACGCAACAUCACUUUAACAGCUUAAACGCAAGCAUAGAACAUGUCUCGGGAAUAUUAAAUACUAGAAAGUAUUGAUUUUGUAUUUAUAAAUAUAAUCUUACUUUUUUUUAAUUUUUUUAACCGAAAAUCACCAAGCAUAACUUUGAGUUUUUACUUUACAUGUGUUUGUUAGUAUACACAAGUGUAUAUGUAGGUAUAAAAUGCGUGAAGAAAUGUUAAACUAUUAUUGUAGUAAGUGCUUUCCGAUAAGUAUUUAUCUAGAAAAAAUGUUAUUUUUAUAAAUUAAAAACAAAAAAAUAAAAACAAAUUCAACUAAAUAUUCCUUUAUACAUUUUGCAAUUUGUGAAAGGCACACAAAAAUCCAGUUAAACACAAAAAACACGUAUGAAAUUUUUCUAAACAACAACAAAAAUACAUACAAAUACUUUCACACAAAUAUUUUACUCAGUGCAGGUACUUUCAGAAUGAACUGCUAAGACAGAUGGAGCACUUUUAAGAGUUUCUAAAUUUUUUAUAAAAAAAUACAUUUAUAUAUUAAAUAUAAAUAUAUGCUAGAAUAGUUUACAAAAGCUAGACUAUAUUUACUAUAUUUAUAACAAAUUUAUAAAAAGAAAACUGUGAAAAAAAAAUUUCAAAAUAUUUUAAAAUCAAAAAAAGAUGGCAUCAAGUUAUGGUAAUGAAACGUACACAUACAUAGCGACUUACAUAUGUAUACACACGCGCAUCUAUAGAUUAUGUAUGUGAAUGUUGAAGAAAUUUGUUAGCAAAUAUUUAUUGAAAUUAUUGUGAUAAAGUAGUUGAACGAGCAAGCAAGCAUAAAUAUGUAGUAGAAAGUAUGUUGUAAAAAACGGCGAAUACGAUCGAGACGAACCACAGCAACAAUAACGCCGACCAAACGCACAAGCAACUGGCGUAAGCUGGCCAUUGCAGCACUACAGUGCGAGACCGAGUGGCGAAACCACAAACAGGAGCGCGUUUUGUGGCUACAAUAAUACAGAUCGCACCGAAAAACAACAACACACACACAUUUGACAAAUAUUUGUCUGUGUAUGUUUGGCUGCGCUGCAUGGCUUUGAAUUUAAAUUACUUGCGCAUCAACACAUUACAGCUACAAACACACACAUGUACCAGUGCAAUAACAACAAUAAUGAACUUUUGAUUUUUUGGCAAGAUUGCUUCGGUUCACAAUUCUUCGCCGCCUGCGUCGAGGCUCUACAACUGCACGAAGAGAUGGACAAAUACAAUGAAUG
Molecule: unclassified non-coding RNA, 1812 nt
Filed under: Bactrocera latifrons
Lineage: Eukaryota; Metazoa; Arthropoda; Insecta; Diptera; Tephritidae
Description: ion transport peptide-like, transcript variant X4
Source: RNAcentral